This 700-nucleotide ribosomal RNA is filed under the name Bacillus tequilensis. Its description in RNAcentral is "bacterial SSU rRNA". It matches the Rfam family "Bacterial small subunit ribosomal RNA", at positions 8 to 690 of the family's 1533-position model. Lineage: Bacteria; Bacillati; Bacillota; Bacilli; Caryophanales; Bacillaceae. The record is from RNAcentral.
AGAGUUUGAUCAUGGCUCAGGACGAACGCUGGCGGCGUGCCUAAUACAUGCAAGUCGAGCGGACAGAUGGGAGCUUGCUCCCUGAUGUUAGCGGCGGACGGGUGAGUAACACGUGGGUAACCUGCCUGUAAGACUGGGAUAACUCCGGGAAACCGGGGCUAAUACCGGAUGGUUGUUUGAACCGCAUGGUUCAAACAUAAAAGGUGGCUUCGGCUACCACUUACAGAUGGACCCGCGGCGCAUUAGCUAGUUGGUGAGGUAAUGGCUCACCAAGGCAACGAUGCGUAGCCGACCUGAGAGGGUGAUCGGCCACACUGGGACUGAGACACGGCCCAGACUCCUACGGGAGGCAGCAGUAGGGAAUCUUCCGCAAUGGACGAAAGUCUGACGGAGCAACGCCGCGUGAGUGAUGAAGGUUUUCGGAUCGUAAAGCUCUGUUGUUAGGGAAGAACAAGUACCGUUCGAAUAGGGCGGUACCUUGACGGUACCUAACCAGAAAGCCACGGCUAACUACGUGCCAGCAGCCGCGGUAAUACGUAGGUGGCAAGCGUUGUCCGGAAUUAUUGGGCGUAAAGGGCUCGCAGGCGGUUUCUUAAGUCUGAUGUGAAAGCCCCCGGCUCAACCGGGGAGGGUCAUUGGAAACUGGGGAACUUGAGUGCAGAAGAGGAGAGUGGAAUUCCACGUGUAGCGGUGAAAUGCG